Molecule: ribosomal RNA, 897 nt
Filed under: Fusarium anguioides
Lineage: Eukaryota; Fungi; Ascomycota; Sordariomycetes; Hypocreales; Nectriaceae
Description: LSU rRNA
Rfam family: Eukaryotic large subunit ribosomal RNA
Source: RNAcentral
AGCAUAUCAAUAAGCGGAGGAAAAGAAACCAACAGGGAUUGCCCUAGUAACGGCGAGUGAAGCGGCAACAGCUCAAAUUUGAAAUCUGGCUUUCGGGCCCGAGUUGUAAUUUGUAGAGGAUACUUUUGAUGCGGUGCCUUCCGAGUUCCCUGGAACGGGACGCCAUAGAGGGUGAGAGCCCCGUCUGGUUGGAUGCCAAAUCUCUGUAAAGUUCCUUCGACGAGUCGAGUAGUUUGGGAAUGCUGCUCUAAAUGGGAGGUAUAUGUCUUCUAAAGCUAAAUAUUGGCCAGAGACCGAUAGCGCACAAGUAGAGUGAUCGAAAGAUGAAAAGCACUUUGAAAAGAGAGUUAAAAAGUACGUGAAAUUGUUGAAAGGGAAGCGUUUAUGACCAGACUUGGACUUGGUUAAUCAUCUGGGGUUCUCCCCAGUGCACUUUUCCAGUUCAGGCCAGCAUCAGUUUUCGCCGGGGGAUAAAGGCUUCGGGAAUGUAGCUCUCUUCGGGGAGUGUUAUAGCCCGUUGUGUAAUACCCUGGUGGAGACUGAGGUUCGCGCUUCUGCAAGGAUGCUGGCGUAAUGGUCAUCAACGACCCGUCUUGAAACACGGACCAAGGAGUCGUCUUCGUAUGCGAGUGUUCGGGUGUCAAACCCCUACGCGUAAUGAAAGUGAACGCAGGUGAGAGCUUCGGCGCAUCAUCGACCGAUCCUGAUGUUCUCGGAUGGAUUUGAGUAAGAGCAUACGGGGCCGGACCCGAAAGAAGGUGAACUAUGCCUGUAUAGGGUGAAGCCAGAGGAAACUCUGGUGGAGGCUCGCAGCGGUUCUGACGUGCAAAUCGAUCGUCAAAUAUGGGCAUGGGGGCGAAAGACUAAUCGAACCUUCUAGUAGCUGGUUUCCGCCGA